This is a long non-coding RNA of Dermacentor andersoni, 558 nucleotides long. RefSeq lists it as uncharacterized. NCBI's taxonomy places the organism in Eukaryota, Metazoa, Arthropoda, Arachnida, Ixodida, Ixodidae. The record is from RefSeq and is a predicted model, not a curated record.
UUAUGCUGGACAUGUUAGUUGCUGCUCUACAGACUAAAAGGCGCUAGUGACAUUGCGUUGGAAACCCUAUGCAUGCUCACAAAUUCUCGUUCAUUGGGGACAGUUUUCUGUGAGUUUUAUAGCAAAAGACGAGAACGAAUUUCUUCUAUAUGCCUUGUGAAGCCGGCGUUACAUGUUUAUAAAUGAGUUCAUUUAUUUACCUGGUGUUUUUACUUCUGGUGUCAGCUAGAUCAGCGGCAGGACGAAGAGAACACAGUGAAGGAAGAGGACCUGCUUCAGGUUGUUACAAAUAUCACGAAGUGCGCAAAAUGUGUGCGAGCAGCAACUGCGCAGAAGCAAAAUGCAGGAAGCCGACUAUUGGCCCCCGCUGUAGGAGGAACUGCGUGAGCGGGUGCUUUUGUGACAAAGGAUACUACAGGGAGGACGUCAGCGGAUUUAAAGAAUGCGUAGCAUGGAUCGAGUGUCCCUCCAAUUCAACACCACCUUUCAGCUGGUACCGUUGGAGAAAUUGGCGUAGCCUUUAUUAAAAAGCAUUUAAUAAAGCCGCGGUGUCCACGA